CGCGUAGGCGGUGCGGUACGGUUUCGGUGAAAUCCCUCGGCCCAACCGAGGAACAGCCGGGGCUACGGCCGCGCUAGACGGCAUCAGGGGACAGUGGAACUCCCGGUGGAGCGGUGAAAUGCGUAGAUAUCGGGAGGAACGCCGGUGGCGAAAGCGACUGUCUGGGGUGCCUGUGACGCUGAGGCGCGAAAGCCAGGGGAUCAAAACGG
This 209-nucleotide ribosomal RNA is filed under the name uncultured bacterium. Its description in RNAcentral is "partial 16S ribosomal RNA". It matches the Rfam family "Bacterial small subunit ribosomal RNA", at positions 568 to 776 of the family's 1533-position model. The record is from RNAcentral.